GAUGAACGCUGGCGGCGUGCCUAAUACAUGCAAGUCGAGCGAACGGACGAGAAGCUUGCUUUUCUGAUGUUAGCGGCGGACGGGUGAGUAACACGUGGAUAACCUACCUAUAAGACUGGGAUAACUUCGGGAAACCGGAGCUAAUACCGGAUAAUAUUUUGAACCGCAUGGUUCAAAAGUGAAAGACGGUCUUGCUGUCACUUAUAGAUGGAUCCGCGCUGCAUUAGCUAGUUGGUAAGGUAACGGCUUACCAAGGCAACGAUGCAUAGCCGACCUGAGAGGGUGAUCGGCCACACUGGAACUGGGACACGGUCCCGACCCCUACGGGAGGCAGCAGUAGGGAAUCUUCCGCAAUGGGCGAAAGCCUGACGGAGCAACGCCGCGUGAGUGAUGAAGGUCUUCGGAUCGUAAAACUCUGUUAUUAGGGAAGAACAUAUGUGUAAGUAACUGUGCACAUCUUGACGGUACCUAAUCAGAAAGCCACGGCUAACUACGUG
This 497-nucleotide ribosomal RNA is filed under the name uncultured bacterium. RNAcentral's name for it is "partial 16S ribosomal RNA". It matches the Rfam family "Bacterial small subunit ribosomal RNA", at positions 28 to 507 of the family's 1533-position model. The record is from RNAcentral.